This 440-nucleotide ribosomal RNA is filed under the name uncultured bacterium. RNAcentral's name for it is "partial 16S ribosomal RNA". It matches the Rfam family "Bacterial small subunit ribosomal RNA", at positions 338 to 795 of the family's 1533-position model. The record is from RNAcentral.
CCUACGGGUGGCAGCAGUGGGGGAUAUUGCACAAUGGGGGGAACCCUGAUGCAGCGACGCCGCGUGGGUGAUGGAGCGUUUCGGCGCGUAAAGCCCUAUCGGCAGGGAAGAAGAUGACGGUACCUAACCAAUAAGCCCCGUCUAACUACGUGCCAGCAGCCGCGGUAAUACGGAGGGGGCAAGCGUUAUCCGGAGUUACUGGGUGUAAAGGGCGCGGAGACGGGAAUGCAAGCCAGGAGUGAAAGCCGGGGGCUUAACCCCAGGACUGCUUUUGAAACUGCAUGGCUGGAGUACGGGAGGGGCAGGUGGAAUUCCUGGUGUAGGGGUGAAAUGCGUAGAUAUCAGGAGGAAUACUGGUGGCGAAGGCGGCCUGCUGGACCGUGACUGACGCUGAGGCCCGAAGGCGUGGGGAGCAAACAGGAUUAGAUACCCGAGUAGUC